UACGAAGGGGGCUAGCGUUGUUCGGAAUCACUGGGCGUAAAGCGCACGUAGGCGGAUUUGUUAGUCAGGGGUGAAAUCCCGGGGCUCAACCUCGGAACUGCCUUUGAUACUGCAGAUCUCGAGUCCGGAAGAGUUGAGUGGAAUUCCUAGUGUAGAGGUGAAAUUCGUAGAUAUUAGGAAGAACACCAGUGGCGAAUGCGGCUCACUGGUCCGGUACUGACGAUGAGGUGCGAAAGCGUGGGGAGCAAACAGG
RNAcentral lists this ribosomal RNA (253 nucleotides) under uncultured bacterium. Its description in RNAcentral is "partial 16S ribosomal RNA". It matches the Rfam family "Bacterial small subunit ribosomal RNA", at positions 524 to 776 of the family's 1533-position model. The record is from RNAcentral.